AUGGCUGCCAUCGGAGCAGAGGUCACCAGCUCAUUCUUCCUGCCGCCGGGAGUCGUCAGCGUCUUCAUCCUCCUCCUCCUCCUCUCCAUCUUCCUCACGUCUCUCUGCAGCGACUGUGGCAGGUUGGUGGUUCUAUUCUCAUGGAUGCAUGUUUCACUGGCGCCUCUCAGCAUCUCUGUUUACGUUGCUCACGUUGCUUCAACGACCAACAAAACGUUGACGUCUGUGCUUCGCUGUUUUUCCAGACGUUCGUUUGAGUUGCAAGAAUCAAGUGUAGACAAACAUCCCUCAUCCCUCAUCAAAGUGGUGAAGCUGGAGGACGCCAUGACGGCCCGAGAGAAUCCCAUGAUCCACGAGAUCCAGAGCGACGAAAAAGAGAAUCACCUGAAGGAGGGAACCCGAGUCCAGGCCGCUGCACCGAGCAGCCACAUGGUGGCGCCACCGCUCAACCAAGAUCACAUCUACCACACCAUUGGAGAGGAGCAGGCUGCGCCAUCACCUGCGGCCAAUCAGGAGCCUCGUUCCGAAGCAGCAGCGGAGGGUCUGGGCGGCAGCAAUGUGAACUCAGUUUACGCACAAGUCAGCAAGAAGGCGACAAAGACCCCGACCGCCGCCACCGUCCAUCCACCUGAACAGGUGCAGGAGGAGGAGGAGUCACCACCGCUGCCUGGCAGGACCGCGGACGUGGAGGCAUGA
This 696-nucleotide long non-coding RNA is filed under the name Betta splendens (Siamese fighting fish). RNAcentral's name for it is "lncRNA (ENSBSLG00000002995.1)". The record is from RNAcentral. Lineage: Eukaryota; Metazoa; Chordata; Actinopteri; Anabantiformes; Osphronemidae.